GACGAACGCUGGCGGCGUGCUUAACACAUGCAAGUUGAACGGAAAGGCCCUGCUUUUGUGGGGUGCUCGAGUGGCGAACGGGUGAGUAACACGUGAGUAACCUGCCCUUGACUUUGGGAUAACUUCAGGAAACUGGGGCUAAUACCGGAUAGGAGCUCCUGCUGCAUGGUGGGGGUUGGAAAGUUUCGGCGGUUGGGGAUGGACUCGCGGCUUAUCAGCUUGUUGGUGGGGUAGUGGCUUACCAAGGCUUUGACGGGUAGCCGGCCUGAGAGGGUGACCGGCCACAUUGGGACUGAGAUACGGCCCAGACUCCUACGGGGGGCAGCAGUGGGGAAUAUUGCACAAUGGGCGGAAGCCUGAUGCAGCAACGCCGCGUGCGGGAUGACGGCCUUCGGGUUGUAAACCGCUUUCGCCUGUGACGAAGCGUGAGUGACGGUAAUGGGUAAAGAAGCACCGGCUAACUACGUG
RNAcentral lists this ribosomal RNA (468 nucleotides) under uncultured bacterium. RNAcentral describes it as "partial 16S ribosomal RNA". It matches the Rfam family "Bacterial small subunit ribosomal RNA", at positions 28 to 507 of the family's 1533-position model. The record is from RNAcentral.